AGGGUCCAUCUGGGAGGUGCGGAGGGCAGGGCCCGCGGGCAGGUUGGCGCUGGCGCCGGAGACGGGGAGGACUCAGGAAAGCAGCGCGGGCCCUGCGCCCCCGGUCCGCUCUGGAGGGCCCCGGGAGCAGGGCGCUGCGGGCGUGGGGCGCGGGGCAGCGGGCGCGGGGCGGCGCCGGCCCCGGGCGGCUCUCCCACUAGGGGUAGCUGUUGCCUGAACGCCGGAGCGCUCCCCUCUCGCCGCUCGCCUCGCCCGCCGCAGCCCCGGCCGCCGGGCGCACCCGUCCCGUUCGUCCCCGGACGUUGCUCUCUUCCCCGGGAACGUCGAGACUGGAGCGCCCGAACUGAGCCACCUUCGCGGACCCGGAGUGCGGCGGCCCGACUCACCGCGGAGGCGCCGGGACGCGUAAAGUCUAUCACUGCCCUAGGGUCUGCUGGUGUCCCUUGGUUGGACAGGCUACAACCUCACCCCUGGGGAUUCCAGAGCACUGGACAGAGAGCCCAGACCCUUCUGGCUCCACAGCUUCCUGGGCAGGAGCAGAAUGAAGACUCAAGGUCCAGGUAAGACUGGCUUCGGGGUCGUGGAAGCUGCCUGUUGCCUCCCACUCCAACACCCUCCCCCCACAGCUCCAUCUCCUCUGCCCUCUUCCCUCGGCGGCCCCCGACUCUCCUUCCCUUCUCUCCAGGGCCACACCCCACUCACUGUAGCUCACCCUUCCUGUUGCUUCCCCUACUGUCCUGUCUUCUCCCAGCUGUCCAGAGAGAGAGUCCUGGCCUAAGGCCAGGGCCCAGGGGGACCCAAGGGACCGGGGCCUCAGUGGGCCUGGCAGGCUCCCUCCUGGCACUUCUCCUGCCACAGGACCUGCCCCUCCUGCCUACCUUCUCCCAGCUCCAGCAGGGGCGGACAGGGGAAAGAAAAGGAGGGGCAUGCUGAACUGGGUCCAUUUGGUGUCUGGGAGCAACUUGGAGAGAGGGAGGGGGCAGGGGAUAGGGGCAGAGCCCUGGCACUGCGGGUCAGGCUGGCCUCCGGGUGGCCUGCUCCCAGGAGCAGUCGUGGUGGUGUCCAUGAAGGGGAGGGCUUGUGGACCCAGGUGCUGAGCUCUCCCUCCCACUGCUUCCAUGUGGAGCUGCCCCCAUCCAUGGUCAGAGGGGCCAUCAGGAGACCCCCCAUGGAGCUGGGGACGCCCUGUGGCCCUCCAUGCUCCACCCUUGAGGCUUCAGGGGGAUGGUGUGGCCCACACAUCCAAGAAGAGUUGGAGAACGACAUGCGGGUGCCCCAUGCCUGGCCCUGCCUCCUCACACACUGGUGAGGACAGGGCAGCUCUCCUUGGCCACCCACUUCUGCCCUCCCCUGCACCAGCCUCUGGAUGCCCCAGGGUUCCUGGGGCUUACCUGCCUCUGAGCUUCCACUUGGGCUGUUCCCUCUGCCCUUCCCCUGGAGACUCCCAUUCUUGCUCCAUUCCCACCAUGGGCCUCCACCUGGGCCCACUUGCCCACAGGGGCAGCAGAGCCCCUGACCAUGCCCUCGCACAUGCAGCCGGAGGACACCCCUCUGCUGUGCGUCCCUGUGGCCAUGGCCUUGAUGGGUGUGGCUCCCCAUGGCUUCUGUGUCUGCCUCCUGCACACCCAGCGGCUCCCAGGCUGGACACCAGGACUCUGGACAGGCACCCAGUGUGUUGGGGGUGGGGGGGCUGCCCAAUAAAGAUUUGUGAAACAA
Molecule: long non-coding RNA, 1716 nt
Organism: Marmota monax (woodchuck)
Lineage: Eukaryota; Metazoa; Chordata; Mammalia; Rodentia; Sciuridae
Exons: 2
Source: RefSeq, a predicted model, not a curated record